AAAACCAAGUGAACGGUGCACACUGCACCAACGUCUCCAAAAGCUCUCGUUCUCUCUCUCUCUCUCUCGCUCUCUCUAACAGAUGGAAAUCAGUUAUCUAAAAUCAAUUGGGAACACUAUGGAAAUGUAUUUCCAAAAGCGUUUGACUACGUUCAUAUUUCUUAUAGGUGAAUGCACCAAUUUGUAAGUCGCUCUGGAUAAGAGCGUCUGCUAAAUGACUUAAAUGUAAAUGUUACGCCUAUUUACAUAGCCUAAUAAACACAUCUCCCAUAUAUUUAAAGUAAGACUUUUAAUAAAUAUACACUAAAUAAAGCAAAUAGACAUAUGCUCUGACAUAAAGAAAACACAGUAAUAGGUUUACAACCCACUAGCUACCCAAUGUAGGCCUAAAGCGGUCUGUUAAGAGAAUAUAGCCCUAUCAAAAAUCCGGGUGAUUAUUUGGCGGCAUUGUUUUCUUUUUAAGAAUAGCCUAUUUUGUCUUCCAAUAUUUUAACGAUUUCAUCUCAUGGUGGCUGUUCAACACUAAGCGCAUGAAUGCAAGCAGAAUUGCAACCUUAACGUCUGUGAUUUCUUAUAUUUUCUUGCGCCAGUCAGUGAAUAGGCCUAGCUGUUACAAAUGAUAAACACGUCAUUCACUUUCACUAGGAAUUUCGCGCGUAAAUGAACUACAUUGAAAAUCUGUUUCUUUUGUGACACCUUGUGCCAUCCUUUGAUUGGCCAAGCAUAACAUCAGUCAACAUUUAGCCGCACCUACCCCCACCCCAUCCAACCACUGGGUUUAAUGUGCUGUAUCUUUACUACAGUAUUAAUAAGAAGACGCCAGUCUCUGCAAACUGUGAACUCUGAAUCACAAAAUAUAGCUAUAUCUUUAGCUUCUAUUAAAGAAGAAAACCUACAAAUCCAACAUGCCCAAGAGAAAGGGAGCCGAUGGAGAUGUCAAGGAGGAGCCUUCAAGGAGAUCUGCACGGUUGUCAUCGAAACCAUCCCCUCCCAAACCAGCACCAAAACCAAAAAAGCCAGCUAAGAAAGAAAAAGAAGUAAAUGACAAGAAGAAGGAAGACAAGAAGAAGGUGAAGGCAGCAGCAGUCGAGGAGCCUAAAGAGGAGACCCAGUCUGAAAAUGGCGAGACCAAGACAGACGAAGUAGAGACUCCAGAAGAGAAGACUGAGUAGCACCUGUCCUGUCCGUCCAAUCCCCUCCCUUGUAUGGCCCCCAAGUCUCAUGUGUUUUCCCUAAAACUUCCAUUACCUUAUUAACAGAGGAAUAUUUUUAUCAACAAUUUUGUAAUUAUUGGUACAGGUUUUUAGCACAAAACAAAGCUAAAUAUGGAAGAUUGUUCUGUUGUGCAGUGGUCAUAUCAAGUGUUUUUAAGCAAACAUAAUUACGGUUUCGUUUUUUUAUUAGUGUUGGUACCUUGUUGGGAGCUCAAAAAAUAAUGCUGGCUGGCAGACUAAUUGCAGGUGGUAUAGUAUCACAUUGUAGGUUUGCCAACUCACAACAUUUCACUUUUGUUGGUGGUUGUAUUUUUACCCUUGAUAUGUGCAGUGUUUUUUCUUUAUGUGGGGGUUUACUUAUUUUCAACGUGAAUGUCUGUAAGAGGAAUUUAAAUAUAGAAAAAAUAUUGAAAACAUUCCAGGCUUAAUAAUGAUGUGGGCAUAACUGCUUUUGAAAUAAUCUUGCUCUGCAUUAUUUUGAUGACAAAUUAUUUUAACGGCAGAAGAGACUUGUUGGAAGUCGCUAAUGCUUUUUGAAACAAAUGUUGGGAUUUUUUAUUGAAAUAUGCCGCCAUCUGUUGUGUUCCCACUGAAGUUCUGGAUGUCUAAUUGGAAUUUAAUAAAAUAGUAAUUGGAAUUUUCCUCAUGAGGUUGUACUCUGUCUCAUUA
Molecule: long non-coding RNA, 1883 nt
Filed under: Salmo trutta (river trout)
Lineage: Eukaryota; Metazoa; Chordata; Actinopteri; Salmoniformes; Salmonidae
Description: lncRNA (ENSSTUG00000023201.1)
Rfam family: UnaL2 LINE 3' element (bases 171-224)
Source: RNAcentral